RNAcentral lists this ribosomal RNA (549 nucleotides) under uncultured Glomus. RNAcentral describes it as "SSU rRNA". It matches the Rfam family "Eukaryotic small subunit ribosomal RNA", at positions 548 to 1098 of the family's 1831-position model. Lineage: Eukaryota; Fungi; Glomeromycota; Glomeromycetes; Glomerales; Glomeraceae. The record is from RNAcentral.
UUGGAGGGCAAGUCUGGUGCCAGCAGCCGCGGUAAUUCCAGCUCCAAUAGCGUAUAUUAAAGUUGUUGCAGUUAAAAAGCUCGUAGUUGAACUUCGGGAUCAAUGGAUUGGUCAUGCCGUUGGUAUGUACUGGUCAUAUUGGUUCUCACCUUCUAAGGAACCAUAAUGUCAUUCAUUUGAUGUUUUGGGGAAUUAGGACUGUUACCUUGAAAAAAUUAGAGUGUUUAAAGCAGGCUAACGCUUGAAUACAUUAGCAUGGAAUAAUGAAAUAGGACAUCGCAUUCUAUUUUGUUGGUUUCUAGGAUCGAUGUAAUGAUUAAUAGGGAUAGUUGGGGGCAUUAGUAUUCAAUUGUCAGAGGUGAAAUUCUUGGAUUUAUUGAAGACUAACUACUGCGAAAGCAUUCGCCAAGGAUGUUUUCAUUAAUCAAGAACGAAAGUUAGGGGAUCGAAGACGAUCAGAUACCGUCGUAGUCUUAACCAUAAACUAUGCCGACUAGGGAUCGGAUGAUGUUGAUUUUUUAAUGACUCAUUCGGCGCCUUACGGGAAAC